UACGGGAGGCAGCAGUGGGGAAUAUUGCACAAUGGGCGAAAGCCUGAUGCAGCUAUGCCGCGUGUAUGAAGAAGGCCUUAGGGUUGUAAAGUACUUUCAUCGGGGAGGAAAAACAAAACUAAUAAUUUUAUUUCUUGACGUUACCCGAAAAAGGAGCACCGGCUAACUCCGUGCCAGCAGCCGCGGUAAUACGGAGGGUGCUAGCGUUAAUCAGAAUUACUGGGCGUAAAGAGCACGUAGGUGGUUUUUUAAGUCAGAUGUGAAAUCCCUGGGCUUAACCUAGGAACUGCAUUUUGAAACUGAAAUACUAGAGUAUCGUAGAGGGAGGUAGAAUUCUAGGUGUAGCGGUGAAAUGCGUAGAUAUCUGGAGGAAUACCUGUGGCGAAAGCGGCCUCCUAAACGAAUACUGACACUGAGGUGCGAAAGCGUGGGGAGCAAACAGGGAUUAGAUACC
Molecule: ribosomal RNA, 454 nt
Filed under: uncultured bacterium
Lineage: Bacteria
Description: bacterial SSU rRNA
Rfam family: Bacterial small subunit ribosomal RNA
Source: RNAcentral